RNAcentral lists this ribosomal RNA (1799 nucleotides) under Listeria monocytogenes. RNAcentral's name for it is "partial 23S ribosomal RNA". It matches the Rfam family "Bacterial large subunit ribosomal RNA", at positions 408 to 2205 of the family's 2925-position model. The record is from RNAcentral. Lineage: Bacteria; Bacillati; Bacillota; Bacilli; Caryophanales; Listeriaceae.
CUGAGUACGGCGGAACACGUGAAAUUCCGUCGGAAUCCGGGAGGACCAUCUCCCAAGGCUAAAUACUCCCUAGUGACCGAUAGUGAACCAGUACCGUGAGGGAAAGGUGAAAAGCACCCCGGAAGGGGAGUGAAACAGUUCCUGAAACCGUGUGCCUACAAGUAGUUAGAGCCCGUUAAUGGGUGAUAGCGUGCCUUUUGUAGAAUGAACCGGCGAGUUACGAUUUGUUGCAAGGUUAAGCGGAAAAAGCGGAGCCGUAGCGAAAGCGAGUCUGAAUAGGGCGCAUAAGUAACAGGUCGUAGACCCGAAACCAGGUGAUCUACCCAUGUCCAGGAUGAAGGUAAGGUAAUACUUACUGGAGGUCCGAACCCACGCACGUUGAAAAGUGCGGGGAUGAGGUGUGGGUAGCGGAGAAAUUCCAAUCGAACUUGGAGAUAGCUGGUUCUCUCCGAAAUAGCUUUAGGGCUAGCCUCGAGGUAAAGAGUCAUGGAGGUAGAGCACUGUUUGGACUAGGGGCCCUUCUCGGGUUACCGAAUUCAGAUAAACUCCGAAUGCCAUGUACUUAUACUCGGGAGUCAGACUGCGAGUGAUAAGAUCCGUAGUCGAAAGGGAAACAGCCCAGACCACCAGUUAAGGUCCCCAAAUAUAUGUUAAGUGGAAAAGGAUGUGGGGUUGCUUAGACAACCAGGAUGUUGGCUUAGAAGCAGCCACCAUUGAAAGAGUGCGUAAUAGCUCACUGGUCGAGUGACCCCGCGCCGAAAAUGUACCGGGGCUAAACAUAUUACCGAAACUGUGGAUGAACCUCUUUAGAGGUUCGUGGUAGGAGAGCGUUCUAAGGGCGGUGAAGUCAGACCGGAAGGACUGGUGGAGCGCUUAGAAGUGAGAAUGCCGGUAUGAGUAGCGAAAGAAGGGUGAGAAUCCCUUCCACCGAAUAUCUAAGGUUUCCUGAGGAAGGCUCGUCCGCUCAGGGUUAGUCGGGACCUAAGCCGAGGCCGAUAGGCGUAGGCGAUGGACAACAGGUAGAGAUUCCUGUACCAGUGCUAAUUGUUUAACCGAUGGGGUGACACAGAAGGAUAGGGAAUCGCACGAAUGGAAAUGUGCGUCCAAGCAGUGAGUGUGAGAAGUAGGCAAAUCCGCUUCUCGCGAAGCAUGAGCUGUGAUGGGGAAGGAAAUUAAGUACGGAAGUUCCUGAUUUCACGCUGUCAAGAAAAGCCUCUAGGAAGAGUAGUACUGCCCGUACCGCAAACCGACACAGGUAGAUGAGGAGAGAAUCCUAAGGUGAGCGAGAGAACUCUCGUUAAGGAACUCGGCAAAAUGACCCCGUAACUUCGGGAGAAGGGGUGCUCUAUUAGGGUGCAAGCCCGAGAGAGCCGCAGUGAAUAGGCCCAGGCGACUGUUUAGCAAAAACACAGGUCUCUGCAAAACCGUAAGGUGACGUAUAGGGGCUGACGCCUGCCCGGUGCUGGAAGGUUAAGAGGAGUGCUUAGCUUCGGCGAAGGUACGAAUUGAAGCCCCAGUAAACGGCGGCCGUAACUAUAACGGUCCUAAGGUAGCGAAAUUCCUUGUCGGGUAAGUUCCGACCCGCACGAAAGGCGCAACGAUCUGGGCACUGUCUCAACGAGAGACUCGGUGAAAUUAUAGUACCUGUGAAGAUGCAGGUUACCCGCGACAGGACGGAAAGACCCCGUGGAGCUUUACUGCAACCUGAUAUGGAAUGUUUGUACCGCUUGUACAGGAUAGGUAGGAGCCGAAGAGACGUGUGCGCUAGCAUACGAGGAGGCAAUGGUGGGAUACUACCC